GACCAGACUCCUACGGGAGGCAGCAGUGAGGGAUAUUGGUCAAUGGGGGAAACCCUGAACCAGCAACGCCGCGUGAGGGAAGACGGUUUUCGGAUUGUAAACCUCUGUCCUCUGUGAAGAUAAUGACGGUAGCUAAGGAGCAAGCCACGGCUAACUACGUGCCAGCAGCCGCGGUAAUACGUAGGUGGCAAGCGUUGUCCGGAAUUACUGGGUGUAAAGGGAGCGCAGGCGGGAAGCCAAGUCAGCUGUGAAAACUACGGGCUUAACUUGUAGACUGCAGUUGAAACUGGUUUUCUUGAGUGAAGUAGAGGUUGGCGGAAUUCCGAGUGUAGCGGUGAAAUGCGUAGAUAUUCGGAGGAACACCGGUGGCGAAGGCGGCCAACUGGGCUUUAACUGACGCUGAGGCUCGAAAGUGUGGGGAGCAAACAGGAUUAGAUACCCUCGUAUU
RNAcentral lists this ribosomal RNA (448 nucleotides) under uncultured bacterium. RNAcentral describes it as "bacterial SSU rRNA". It matches the Rfam family "Bacterial small subunit ribosomal RNA", at positions 329 to 794 of the family's 1533-position model. The record is from RNAcentral.